RNAcentral lists this ribosomal RNA (349 nucleotides) under uncultured bacterium. RNAcentral's name for it is "partial 16S ribosomal RNA". It matches the Rfam family "Bacterial small subunit ribosomal RNA", at positions 338 to 684 of the family's 1533-position model. The record is from RNAcentral.
CCUACGGGGUGCUGCAGUGAGGAAUAUUGGUCAAUGGACGGAAGUCUGAACCAGCCAUGCCGCGUGCAGGAUGACGGCUCUAUGAGUUGUAAACUGCUUUUGGAGGAGGGGAAACACCCCUACGUGUAGGGGCUUGAAAGUAUAAGACGAAUAAGGAUCGGCUAACUCCGUGCCAGCAGCCGCGGUAAUACGGAGGAUCCAAGCGUUAUCCGGAUUUAUUGGGUUUACAGGGUGCGUAGGCGGUUUGAUAAGGUAGAGGUGAAAUACCGGGGCUCAACACCGGAACUGCCUCUCAUACGGUUGAACUAGCGCGUAGUUGCGGUAGGCGGAAUGUCUGGUGUAGCGGUGA